Small nuclear RNA from Zophobas morio, 199 nucleotides. RefSeq annotates it as U2 spliceosomal RNA. The transcript has a single exon. The record is from RefSeq and is a predicted model, not a curated record. NCBI's taxonomy places the organism in Eukaryota, Metazoa, Arthropoda, Insecta, Coleoptera, Tenebrionidae.
AUCGCUUCUCGGCCUUUUGGCUAAGAUCAAGUGUAGUAUCUGUUCUUAUCAGUUUAAUAUCUGAUACGGGGCCACUGGCCCCGAGUCAAUAUUAAAUUUAUUUUUGUGCUCUUGGAAGUCGUAGGGGUAGCUUGCUACCUUGGACUUCCGCCGGUUGGCCCCGUCCUGCACACCUUGUCGGGGGAAUCAUCGGCCGGCU